RNAcentral lists this ribosomal RNA (253 nucleotides) under uncultured bacterium. RNAcentral's name for it is "partial 16S ribosomal RNA". It matches the Rfam family "Bacterial small subunit ribosomal RNA", at positions 524 to 776 of the family's 1533-position model. The record is from RNAcentral.
GACGUAGGGCGCGAGCGUUGUCCGGAUUUAUUGGGCGUAAAGAGCUCGUAGGCGGCUUGUUGCGUCGACUGUGAAAACCCGGGGCUCAACCCCGGGCCUGCAUUCGAUACGGGCAGACUAGAGUUCGGUAGGGGAGUCUGGAAUUCCUGGUGUAGCGGUGAAAUGCGCAGAUAUCAGGAGGAACACCGGUGGCGAAAGCGGCGUGCUGGACCUUUUCUGACGCUGAGGCGCGAAAGCUAGGGGAGCAAACGGG